GACGAACGCUGACGGCGUGCUUAACACAUGCAAGUCGAAGGGAGUGGCGAACGGGUGAGUAACACGUGAGUAACCGGCCCUUUUCUUUGGGAUAAGCCUGGGAAACGGGGUCUAAUACGGGAAGGGUUGGGAUGGGCUCGCGGGUUAUCGGCUUGUUGGUGGGGUGAUGGCUUACCAAGGCUUUGACGGGUAGCCGGCCUGAGGGGGUGGUCGGUCACACUGGGACUGAGAUACGGCCCAGACUCCUACGGGAGGCAGCAGUGGGGGAUAUUGCACAAUGGACGCAAGUCUGAUGCAGCGACGCCGUGUGGGGGAUGAAGGCCUUCGGGUUGUAAAGUACUUUCAGCGGGGAGGCGUUACCCGCAGAAGAAGCACCGGCUAACUCCGUGCCAGCAGCCGCGGUAAUUC
Molecule: ribosomal RNA, 408 nt
Filed under: uncultured bacterium
Lineage: Bacteria
Description: partial 16S ribosomal RNA
Rfam family: Bacterial small subunit ribosomal RNA
Source: RNAcentral